UACGUAGGGUGCGAGCGUUGUCCGGAAUUACUGGGCGUAAAGAGCUCGUAGGUGGUUUGUCGCGUCGUCUGUGAAAUUCCGGGGCUUAACUCCGGGCGUGCAGGCGAUACGGGCAUAACUUGAGUACUGUAGGGGAGACUGGAAUUCCUGGUGUAGCGGUGAAAUGCGCAGAGAUAUGGAGGAACACCAGUGGCGAAGGCGGCUCUCUGGUCUGCAACUGACGCUGAGGCACGAAAGCGUGGGUAGCAAACAGG
RNAcentral lists this ribosomal RNA (254 nucleotides) under uncultured bacterium. RNAcentral's name for it is "partial 16S ribosomal RNA". It matches the Rfam family "Bacterial small subunit ribosomal RNA", at positions 524 to 776 of the family's 1533-position model. The record is from RNAcentral.